This 480-nucleotide ribosomal RNA is filed under the name uncultured bacterium. RNAcentral describes it as "partial 16S ribosomal RNA". It matches the Rfam family "Bacterial small subunit ribosomal RNA", at positions 38 to 507 of the family's 1533-position model. The record is from RNAcentral.
GGCGGCAGGCCUAACACAUGCAAGUCGAACGGUAACAGGAAGCAGCUUGCUGCUUUGCUGACGAGUGGCGGACGGGUGAGUAAUGUCUGGGAAACUGCCCGAUGGAGGGGGAUAACUACUGGAAACGGUAGCUAAUACCGCAUAACGUCGCAAGACCAAAGAGGGGGACCUUAGGGCCUCUUGCCAUCGGAUGUGCCCAGAUGGGAUUAGCUAGUAGGUGGGGUAACGGCUCACCUAGGCGACGAUCCCUAGCUGGUCUGAGAGGAUGACCAGCCACACUGGAACUGAGACACGGUCCAGACUCCUACGGGAGGCAGCAGUGGGGAAUAUUGCACAAUGGGCGCAAGCCUGAUGCAGCCAUGCCGCGUGUAUGAAGAAGGCCUUCGGGUUGUAAAGUACUUUCAGCGGGGAGGAAGGGAGUAAAGUUAAUACCUUUGCUCAUUGACGUUACCCGCAGAAGAAGCACCGGCUAACUCCGUG